UAAGAUGUCAUUUCAGCAUUUUGUUGGUUUAUCAGAGCAGAUAAGACAUCUGUUUAAUAAUCUGUAAUUAGUGUAACUUGCCUUACCAGUCUGGGAUUCAAAUAAGAUUCUCAUUAUUUCUUAUUUUCCAGAUUAAUCUCCUGAAUCCCCACAUGCCCAAAUCAAUUUGUUACCAGGCUGCUGUAACGAAGUACCACAAAUCGGUGGCUGAAAACAACAGAAAUUUAAUGUCUUGCAGUUCAGGGGG
Molecule: long non-coding RNA, 247 nt
Filed under: Homo sapiens (human)
Lineage: Eukaryota; Metazoa; Chordata; Mammalia; Primates; Hominidae
Description: non-protein coding lnc-CSF1-3:1
Source: RNAcentral